GAAGAGGUCCUAUCAUAGAACUGCUAACUCCUUGAUCCAAAAUUAAACCUUUGGCCCCUUCC
RNAcentral lists this transfer RNA (62 nucleotides) under Gekko japonicus. RNAcentral's name for it is "tRNA-Ser". The record is from RNAcentral. Lineage: Eukaryota; Metazoa; Chordata; Lepidosauria; Squamata; Gekkonidae.